UACGGAGGGUGCAAGCGUUAUCCGGAUUCACUGGGUUUAAAGGGUGCGUAGGCGGGCAGGUAAGUCAGUGGUGAAAUCUUUGGGCUUAACCCGAAAACUGCCAUUGAUACUAUCUGUCUUGAAUAUUGUGGAGGUUUGCGGAAUAUGUCAUGUAGCGGUGAAAUGCUUAGAUAUGACAUAGAACACCUAUUGCGAAGGCAGCAAACUACGCAUAUAUUGACGCUGAGGCACGAAAGCGUGGGGAUCAAACAGG
This 253-nucleotide ribosomal RNA is filed under the name uncultured bacterium. Its description in RNAcentral is "partial 16S ribosomal RNA". It matches the Rfam family "Bacterial small subunit ribosomal RNA", at positions 524 to 776 of the family's 1533-position model. The record is from RNAcentral.